This is a long non-coding RNA of Lepidothrix coronata (blue-crowned manakin), 2056 nucleotides long. RefSeq lists it as uncharacterized. The record is from RefSeq and is a predicted model, not a curated record. Lineage: Eukaryota; Metazoa; Chordata; Aves; Passeriformes; Pipridae. The transcript has 5 exons.
UUGCUUCCCAUCCUCAUGGCACUACGCUGUGCCCUUCAAGAGACUAAAGCCAAGCAAAACAAUCUUUCCCUUGCCCAGGUUCCUGCUGCUGGCAGUGGGCACUGGGCCAUGUCCUCCUCUCUUUGGGAUGUGUGGAGGGGGCAGUGCAGGCUGUGGUGGGGAGGGAGUGGGGUCUUUUCUGUGAGGGUGCCGGUGCCGGGGUGCCAUGGGCCCCAUGGGGGCAGGGUGCCUGGAGGUGGGUGCAGGGUGUGGGAGCUGUGGGUGCUACAGAGAGUCCCUGGGGAAUGCCGUGCUGGGAGGUACAGGGCUGUGGGAUCCCCGGCUGUCGAGUGCAGGGGCCGGGCUCCCAGGGGUGCCAAUGGAACUCCACAACGAGCCUGUGUCCCCAGAGGUCCCCGAGCUCAGACCCUUCUGGGCAAGUGUCCGCCAAAUCCCCCGGUGUAGAAGGCACCUGUGGUGAAGAGGAGAAAUUUCUUGUUUGGAAAGAGCAGCUACGAAGGACACUGGCCGAGGCAACAGCAGAUGAGAACAUGCUGUGAAGUGUUACAUUGCGACCAUAUCAGAACAGAGACUGUUAACCGAAGGAGACUGUUAUAGAAACUGUUAAUGCAUGCACUGAAUGUAUUGUACCCCUGGUGUUACCGAGUUUUACACCAUUUUCCCCCUCACGUUUAUCCCCUGUUUUCUCAUUGGUCGAGAUUUGCUGCAACGCAGGUGUUUCCCUUCUUGGUCCCUGUUAGCCCCAUGUUCCCUCCUUCCUUCCCUGAUUGGUUAUGACCUCUGUCAGUCCCAUGCUCCUCCCCUCUUUCUAGAUCCUUCCCUACCUAACAUAAAUAGAGUGAACCACCCUUAAUAAAUGGUGAUAGCUGAUUGAAGCUACCACUGUCCUUGAACUUCAUCAGUUGUCGCGUGGUCUUUUCCUGAUCGACUAUGGCAUCCCAGUUCCUCGAACAUCCCUGUGCCCGGCACGUAGCUCGCUGGGCAGCCCCUGCCCAAAGCAGCCGGGGAGCAGGGACAGCAGCUUUCUUGAAGGAGGCCAUUAGAUUUUAUUUCUGACCUCAUUUUAUAUCCUAUGCAGGAUGGGUCUUCAUCAAUCAGAAUGGCAGCUUAGCCUUCCCUGGAUCUUCCUACUGUGACAGGACUGCUGAAAGGUCAACAUGAGAGAUGGUGGUGAAAGGAAAGCAUGCGAAGUAACUUUUCGCUUCUUCAGGCUACUUCAUAUAAAGACAUAGACUCCUGGUUGCAGCUUCACAUAUGGAGUGGAUUAGAAGUGCUGGUAAACUACAACAUCAGGAUGAGGGUUGUGUUUUAGAUGCCCAAGAAAGCAAAAGGAAACACCGAAGGUCUGAAAGAGAAUCAAGUGAAUAUUCUGACAGCAAAUCAACUUCAUAAAUGGAGAGGCAAAGAAACUGUAGGCAACGAGGAAGACAGACUAUAGGACAAGAUGUCCAAGAGGGUUAAAACUAAGAGUAUGAAGAGACAUGUUUGGCUUUUAACAGAUUAACAGGAAGGAAGUCUCACAGACUCAGAAAAAGGCCAUGCCCAUGCGCCAAAAUGUAAGCUUAUUUCAGUCAGACAAGGGAAGUCCAGUUUAAUCCAAGCUCUAGGAUUAAGCUCUAUUCUUGCCUCAAAUGGAAGACUGGCCUGGCUACACAGAGUACUUCAGAUGGAACUCAAGGAUAAAAAAAAAAUAAAUAAUGACCUUUGGAAGAAGGGGCAGGCAACUCAGGAGGACUGCAAGGAUGUUGUGAGAGUAUGCACGGAGAAAAUCAGAAGGGCCAAAGCCCAAGGAAAACCUAAUCUGGCUACUGCCAUAAACGACAAAACCAAAUGCUUUUAUAAAUACAUUAGGCACAAAAGGAGUGUGUCAGAGAUGGGAUUCAUAUCUCAACAGAUUGUUUGACUGGUGGGUUGAAUAAACCAUGUUGCCUGUGUGUGCUGGGUGGGGGGAAGAAGGGCCAGGCUUAGGUUUGGAGCCACCCCGGCUGUGCCCAUGCAGAGCACAUGGCAGGGAAAGCCAUGGGGCUCGGCUGUCAGUCAAUAAGGCCGCCUGGGG